Molecule: transfer RNA, 74 nt
Filed under: Candidatus Daviesbacteria bacterium
Lineage: Bacteria; Candidatus Daviesiibacteriota
Description: tRNA-Val
Rfam family: tRNA
About the family: Transfer RNA (tRNA) molecules are approximately 80 nucleotides in length.
Source: RNAcentral
GGGCGGUUAGCUCAGCUGGUAGAGCGUCCGAUUGACGUUCGGAAGGUUCAUAGGUUCGAUCCCUAUACCGCCCA